Molecule: ribosomal RNA, 587 nt
Filed under: uncultured bacterium
Lineage: Bacteria
Description: bacterial SSU rRNA
Rfam family: Bacterial small subunit ribosomal RNA
Source: RNAcentral
UAUUAGUGGCAUCGUUAAAAGAUUAAGAGCUUCGGUGGUAAGAGAUGAGUAUGCGUUCUAUUAGCUAGUAGGUGAGGUAACGGCUCACCUAGGCGACGAUAGAUAGGGGCCCUGAGAGGGGGAUCCCCCACACUGGUACUGAGACACGGACCAGACUCCUACGGGAGGCAGCAGUGAGGAAUAUUGGACAAUGGGCGCAAGCCUGAUCCAGCCAUGCCGCGUGCAGGAAGACUGCCCUAUGGGUUGUAAACUGCUUUUAUAUAGGAAGAAACCAUUCUACGUGUAGAGUGCUGACGGUACUAUAAGAAUAAGCAUCGGCUAACUCCGUGCCAGCAGCCGCGGUAAUACGGAGGAUGCAAGCGUUAUCCGGAAUCAUUGGGUUUAAAGGGUCCGUAGGUGGAUAGAUAAGUCAGAGGUGAAAUCCUGCAGCUCAACUGUAGAAUUGCCUUUGAAACUGUUUAUCUUGAAUUAUGGUGAAGUGGUUAGAAUAUGUAGUGUAGCGGUGAAAUUCAUAGAUAUUACAUAGAAUACCAAUUGCGAAGGCAAAUCACUAACCAUAUAUUGACACUGAUGGACGAAAGCGUGGG